ACCCUUUUGUAGUUCUUGAGUGUGAUACUAGUGUGUUUACACUCACAUGUGGAUGUGCCUCCCUCAAAUCUUGUUAGGACAUUGGCACAAUACCCAGGGUUGUGAAC
Molecule: small nucleolar RNA, 107 nt
Organism: Otolemur garnettii (small-eared galago)
Lineage: Eukaryota; Metazoa; Chordata; Mammalia; Primates; Galagidae
Source: Ensembl